Molecule: ribosomal RNA, 442 nt
Filed under: uncultured bacterium
Lineage: Bacteria
Description: partial 16S ribosomal RNA
Rfam family: Bacterial small subunit ribosomal RNA
Source: RNAcentral
CCUACGAGUGACUGCAGUGGGGAAUAUUGGGCAAUGGACGCAAGUCUGACCCAGCAACGCCGCGUGAAGGAAGAAGGCUUUCGGGUUGUAAACUUCUUGUAAUGGGAAGGAGCAGCAGAAUGUACCCCUUGAAUAAGCCACGGCUAACUACGUGCGAGCAGCCGCGGUCAUACGUAGGGGGCAAGCGUUAUCCGGAUUUACUGGGUGUAAAGGGCGUGCAGCCGGAGAGACAAGUCAGAUGUGAAAUCCACGGGCUCAACCCGUGAACUGCAUUUGAAACUGUUGCCCUUGAGUGUCGGGGCGGUAAUCGGAAUUCCUGGUGUAGCGGUGAAAUGCGUAGAUAUAAGGAAGAACACCAGUGGCGAAGGCGGAUUACUGGACGAUAACUGACGGUGAGGCGCGAAAGCGUGGGGAGCAAACAGGAUUAGAUACCCCGGUAGUC